RNAcentral lists this ribosomal RNA (164 nucleotides) under uncultured bacterium. Its description in RNAcentral is "partial 16S ribosomal RNA". It matches the Rfam family "Bacterial small subunit ribosomal RNA", at positions 355 to 511 of the family's 1533-position model. The record is from RNAcentral.
UAGGAAAUCUUCCACAAUGGACGAAAGUCUGAUGGAGCAACGCCGCGUGAGUGAAGAAGGGUUUCGGCUCGUAAAACUCUGUUGUUAAAGAAGAACAUAUCUGAGAGUAACUGUUCAGGUAUUGACGGUAUUUAACCAGAAAGCCACGGCUAACUACGUGCCAG